RNAcentral lists this ribosomal RNA (254 nucleotides) under uncultured bacterium. RNAcentral describes it as "partial 16S ribosomal RNA". It matches the Rfam family "Bacterial small subunit ribosomal RNA", at positions 524 to 776 of the family's 1533-position model. The record is from RNAcentral.
GACGAACCACACGAACGUUAUUCGGAAUUACUGGGCUUAAAGGGUGCGUAGGCGGCGCGGUAAGUAGGGUGUGAAAUCCCUCGGCUCAACCGAGGGAACUGCGCUCUAAACUACCGUGCUUGAGGGAGGUAGAGGUGAGCGGAACUUAGGGUGGAGCGGUGAAAUGCGUUGAUAUCCUAAGGAACACCGGUGGCGAAAGCGGCUCACUGGAUCUCUUCUGACGCUGAGGCACGAAAGCUAGGGUAGCGAACGGG